GAUGAACGCUGGCGGCGUGCCUAAUACAUGCAAGUCGAGCGAACGGACGAGAAGCUUGCUUUUCUGAUGUUAGCGGCGGACGGGUGAGUAACACGUGGAUAACCUACCUAUAAGACUGGGAUAACUUCGGGAAACCGGAGCUAAUACCGGAUAAUAUUUUGAACCGCAUGGUUCAAAAGUGAAAGACGGUCUUGCUGUCACUUAUAGAUGGAUCCGCGCUGCAUUAGCUAGUUGGUAAGGUAACGGCUUACCAAGGCAACGAUGCAUAGCCGACCUGAGAGGGGGGAGGGCCGAGGCGGAAAUGAGAGACGGGCGGAGAGCCAAAGGGAGCGAGGGGUAGGGAUGCGGCAGGACGGGGAGAAAGCAUGAAGGAGGAAAGCAGGGGGAGUGAUGAAGGUAAGCGGAUGGGAAACCUUUGGGAUGAGGGAAGAAAAAAGGCGGAAGUAACGAGGGAGGUAGGGCCGGGAGUGAAUCAGAAAGCCCCGGAUACCUGAGG
RNAcentral lists this ribosomal RNA (496 nucleotides) under uncultured bacterium. Its description in RNAcentral is "partial 16S ribosomal RNA". The stretch from base 20 to 341 matches the Rfam family "Bacterial small subunit ribosomal RNA", at positions 47 to 358 of the family's 1533-position model. The record is from RNAcentral.